This 844-nucleotide ribosomal RNA is filed under the name uncultured Chloroflexota bacterium. RNAcentral describes it as "bacterial SSU rRNA". It matches the Rfam family "Bacterial small subunit ribosomal RNA", at positions 28 to 896 of the family's 1533-position model. Lineage: Bacteria; Bacillati; Chloroflexota. The record is from RNAcentral.
GAUAAACGCUGGCAGCGUGCCUUAUGCAUGCAAGUCGAACGGUUCCGAUUUAUCGGGAUAGUGGCGAACGGGUGAGUAAUGCGUAAGUAACCUACCCUCAAGUAGGGGAUAACUCCGAGAAAUUGGAGCUAAUACCUUAUGUGGUGAUGGAGUUAAUGCUUCAUCACUAAAGCCUUAGGGUGCUUGAGGACGGGCUUGCGUCUGAUUAGUUAGUUGGUAGGGUAAUGGCUUACCAAGGCGAAGAUCGGUAGCUGGUUUGAGAGGAUGGUCAGCCACACUGGGAUUGAGAUACGGCCCAGACUCCUACGGGAGGCAGCAGCAAGGAAUAUUGUGCAAUGGGCGAAAGCCUGACACAGCGACGCUGCGUGGGGGAUGAAGGCCUUCGGGUGUAAACCCCUUUUCUCAGGGAAGAAUAAUGACGGUACCUGAGGAAUAAGUCACGGCUGACUACGUGCCAGCAGCCGCGGUAAUACGUAGGUGGCAAGCGUUAUCCGGAUUUACUGGGUGUAAAGAGGGCGUAGGUGGCUUUUCAAGUCGAAUAUAAAAUCUCCCGGCUUAACUGGGAGGGAUUAUUCGAUACUGUUGGGCUAGAGAGCAGCAGAGGGAGGUGGAAUUCCCGGUGUAGUGGUGAAAUGCGUAGAUAUCGGGAGGAACACCAGUGGCGAAGGCGGCCUCCUGGGCUGUUGCUGACACUGAGGCCCGAAAGCGUGGGGAGCAAACAGGAUUAGAUACCCUGGUAGUCCACGCCAUAAACUAUGGACACUAGGUAUGGGGAGUAUCGACCCUCUCUGUGCCGAAGCAAACGCUUUAAGUGUCCCACCUGAGAACUACGGCCGCAAGGCUA